RNAcentral lists this transfer RNA (72 nucleotides) under Allobates goianus (Goias rocket frog). Its description in RNAcentral is "tRNA-Lys". It matches the Rfam family "tRNA". From Rfam's summary of the family: Transfer RNA (tRNA) molecules are approximately 80 nucleotides in length. Their secondary structure includes four short double-helical elements and three loops (D, anti-codon, and T loops). Further hydrogen bonds mediate the characteristic L-shaped molecular structure. tRNAs have two regions of fundamental functional importance: the anti-codon, which is responsible for specific mRNA codon recognition, and the 3' end, to which the tRNAs corresponding amino acid is attached (by aminoacyl-tRNA synthetases). tRNAs cope with the degeneracy of the genetic code in two manners: having more than one tRNA (with a specific anti-codon) for a particular amino acid; and 'wobble' base-pairing, i.e. permitting non-standard base-pairing at the 3rd anti-codon position. Lineage: Eukaryota; Metazoa; Chordata; Amphibia; Anura; Aromobatidae. The record is from RNAcentral.
CGAUACGAAGCUAUAGGAAACAGCAACAGCCUUUUAAGCUGUAGACAGGUGGCCUCCACCCACCCAUAUCGA